CUCUCAUCGUCGUCGUCAUCAACAUCACCAUCAUCACACGGUUGUUGUUAUUCCAUCAAAAAAAAAAAAAAAUACGUAAAGAAACACAAGAACAGCAGCAACACAACAGUCAGGAAUAAAACACACCGAAUAACACACAAAAACAAAAAUAAUAAAAAUGUACAAAAAAGAAAUAAACAAACACACACACAUUCACUCAAUAAAUCGCUCGCUCACAUAGAUACAGAUAGAGGAAACACACGAAAAAAAAAAGAAUCAUUCUACAUUCUCUAUAUGAUUCGUGCACAUUCACAAAAUGUUACACUAAAAUCAAGUACAACAGCAACAUACAUUUUGAAUGUGGUAUAAAAAUUCACGGGCUGACUGGCUACUCACUCAUUCACUUACUUACUUACCUACCACUCGGCAGCAGGCCAGCUAUCCAGCUAGAAGCAACACAUCAAAAUCAACCAAAAUACAAAUUAAAUACAAGUGUUGUCAACAACUGUUAAAAUGUUAGUAAUUGUCGAACGGCGCGAAAAGUUUUCAAGCGCUUAGAUAUCAUUUCGGCUAACGGCAAGCGCUACAAAGACAUGAUUACGUACAGUUUAUGGGCUUAAAGGGAAGACAUAAACUUGGAUAAUCUUUGGAUUCAACAAAAUGACAAAAUCCAGUCACAUAGCUUAUCAUAUAAUCGAUCAUUUGCGUACAGAGUUCGCUAAUCGUUGUUAUCAACCGUCUCGGCGAUGUUAACGGAGGGAAGUACCCAGAAACCCUUGAGACUAAUAUUGACUGAGGCAUUCGAAGAAACCUUCAACAAAAUAUAGGAAAUUUGUUCUAACAGGAGAAGGAAUAGUGAAGCCAGCUGGGUCAGAUAUAUAAAUCGAAUGGAAAGAUUUGUUCUUUCAACAAUGGAUGCCGCGACCAAAGAAUUACUCAUCUUUAUAGGCCAAGAAUGAAUCAAGUCAAUUUCGGUUAUCGUGUUAUAAAGAGAAGCGUAUCCUAGAGAGAGAGAGAAAGCGUUCCGCACCCAUCGAAACAAAUAUAAAUCAGACGGAGCAAGGUCUGGACUAUAAGGCGGCUUUCAGGUUCUUCUUUGGCCAAUGCAGGCUUCAGAUACCCUGGGAUGUAAUGGCUCGAUUUCAGCAGCUCUUCUGGUCCCAACAAAACGCCAUAGAUAUUUGGCUUUGUUUUCGAAUCGGCUGCUUCCGGUUAUCAUAAUUGAUGCAUUUUUUAUCGUAUAUCGACUUCCAUUCGUUUGGUACUCAAUGAAUGAAUCCUGCUGCUCGCAAAAAAUGCUGCUGUAGUAGCUCCCAAUGAUUUUGCCAACUCUUCUUGAGUUUGACAACAAUCUUUAUCUCACUCUUUGUGCAUCAAAUUCUUGGUCUGGCCUGGGCGAUCUUUGUCUUCCGUGUCAAAAUCACCACUUCUGAACCGCACAAAUCAUAUUUCGCCAGAUGGAACACAUUCACGGAAUUGACCAAAACUUGGCACAGAAAUUGAUUUUUUUCACUACACUCUUCUCUUCUUCAGCUUCUCUAUCUCCUGAAAAAAUGUUAUUUAGUCAAUUUUUAUUAAGCGUCAAACGAACUAUUUAUUUCGAUUUUUUACAAGUAAGUAGUAAUGAUUUCUAUUUAUCAUUUUCAAAGGAUAUCCCUUUCAGUAACUGAGACCCAUAUUAAUUUGCCAGACUGUUGUCUGUGGUGUCAAGGUCCUUUUCUGUGAAGGACUUUCUUUGAUGUCCUACAAGUAAGUAUUAAAAAUGAAAAUUGUUCCUCUGAGUAACAGUUUCGUUUAUUAAUGGAUUCCUCGAGAAUUUCAAAUGCUUUAAAGUUUUGAAUCCCGUAAUAAAUCGAGAAAGUGUUGUCUGAUUUGAAACAUUAAGAGUUGAAAGAUUUUAUAGCGAGUUAAAACUAGAAUUCUAGAUGAAAUGGCAUUGAUGGCAUACAUUUUCAUCUGAAACCGUUCACAUUAUAAUGGAGACCAAGCGUUUCAUUUUAUCAUAGAAAAAUCCAGAGCCCAUUCAAUUUUAAAACCAUCGGUGUAGAAUAAGAUCGCGAAAGCCUUAUCAUUUCGACAUAGUGUAUUUGAGAGUUUUCAUCAGUGAUUGCACUGCUGUUUAACAAUUUACGAUCAUGUCUCUGACCAUAGAACCAAAAUGAAUUUGUAGGACAAUCUGAUGGAGAUCUAACUUAUCAUUUUAUUAGAGAAAAAUUCAUUUUAAAAACAUCAUCAAUUCCGUUUUUUUCAAAAUUUGCCCUUAAGCAUUAAAAAGCUUAACUUUCUGAUCCUAGAACCGAUUUCAUUUCAAUUAUUUUAUGGGCACUUUUUCACGUCAUCAAAUGGAAUCUCUAUUGUAAUGAGUAUCCGAUUUCGAGAGGAUUAUACAAAAUUUCUCUUGUGAUGAUUUUACUCUCGACAAAGAGAAACAAAACGGUUGUACAAUGUUUUUUAGAUCACCGUUUUUUGCGUGAUUGUUUAAGGCACCCUAUGCUGUCUCUCUGUCUAUGCCAAUACGCUCCAAGUACGAAGGACAAUCUACAUUUCAAUUCAUUGAAAUUUGGAAGCUUACUUUUUCCAUGUUAUUCAAUGGUAUCAUUAUUGGAUUAGGUUCCCUAUUCCGAACAUAUCAUUGAAAAGCGCUCUCUCAUAGAACUCGUAGAAGAAUUUAUAUGAUUAGACUACUACUAAGAUUUUUAGUCGAUCCUUUCCGCUUCCAUGUUCUUCAAGAAGGCAAAACCCAAGGUGUGAUCUAAGCGACUACGAGAUAUGAUCCAUUCUUCAGUUAUCUAGCUAUUGCUGCGAUCAAAAGUCAUUGACUUCAACUCCCUAUUAUAAAGGUGUAGAGGUCAUAAGUGUAGGCUAAGAUCGUGAAACCCUUAUUAUUUCGACAUAGUGUUUAGAUUUGAGAGUUUUUAUAGAGUUUCUAGUCUUGAAUUCUACGCGAAGCCGCAUAGAUAACGUAAAUUUUCAUCUGAAAGACGAUAUAAGUAUUACACGUUUUUAUCAUUAUGAUUUGAUUGCACUGUUUUUUCAGAACUUGAAAUCAUGUCUCUGAUCCUAGAACCAAGAUGCAUUUGUCGGGUUUUCAGGACAAGUAUUAAUAGCGAAAUUGCAUAAAGAGUCAACACAUAGAGCUAGUACUGGCAAGCUGUAGGUCUUAAUAAAUUUAUUGACGAUACAAUUAUUCAUGUAAGUUGCGCCAUGAAUACUAAACAUAAUUAUGUCAGUGUUUUAUGCCAAAGUAAUGUCAAAAAUUGUUAUAUCAAAACCAAAAUGUUGUUUUCUUUCCCCAAAAACCAACCUAGUCGACAACACUGAAAACCUACUAGCUUUUACUCUUCUUAAUACACUGAGUUCAUUUUCAACAAUCAAACAACAAAUGUGAGUGUUUGUGUGAAUAAAAAGGAAUUGAAACGAAAAAAAUUCAAUUCCGCCACCGUUAAAAAAAAAAAGAAACGAAAACUCCCAACAAAAGAAUUAGAAUAAAAAGCAUUUAAAUAUGUGGCAAUACACAACAACCCACAAUAAAGUUGAAGAAAAAAACACGUAAAAAGUUUUGAAUAUUCAUGGCAAAGAAAAAUAUAGACAGACUAAAUGUCUCCUGCUAUACGUUCAAAACGUUCAAUGUUGCAACAUUUUGCCUCUACGUGUGUUUUAAUAAAUUAUGUAUAAAUUAUUUCCAUAUUGGUAAGAGUGUGCGGAGUCUCUUUUAUGUUGUUGUUAAAAUGUUAUUAUGUUACGUUUGUAAUGUUUGUUGCAACUUGCAAUGCACAGUGACUUAGAGUUUGUUUAUUGUAAUAUGGCAUCGUCAUCACCAUUAUCAACGUCAUCCUACUUGGCCAGUGAGAGUGUAAAUAAAUUCCAUAAAUAGUCCGCCAGUUGUCGGUGGAAAAGGAAAAAAAAAAAAACAACAACACAACCAGAAAUUGCCCGCCAGAAAUUUUACACACGCAUUUGUAGUUUUUUUUUAUGGUUUGUUUGCAGAGUUGUUGCCAGAUUAAAUACUAAUUCGCUUUUAAGUGGCAACAGUUCUUUAAGUGUUUGUAAGUAUGAGUUGAUAGUUAUUAUUGGCUGUAUUAGCAAGUGCGAAAGUUAUACAGUUUAUAAUGGUGGGAGAGUAAGUCUUUGAAAGAUUUUUGUAUGCUAAACUGCACUCUUUUGGCCGAAUGAAAUCAAGAAGUCAAGAGGACAGAAUGAGGCGUGGUAAACUGUUUUCUUUGGGGAAAUAACUGAUUUCGAUAUGUUAACAUGUUUAUUAAUGGUAUUUAUUUGUUUUUAAAACAUGUUCUGUAAUGAAUAUCUAAGAAGAGCUGAGACUUAUUCCUUUUCUCUUUCUGACAUUCUAGAUUUGAUUCACUUAGAUUACACAUCUUUUUUGAAGAACGCAAGUCCACCACCACUCGAAACUUACAUUUUAAAACCUCUAGUCAAUCUUUGUGUGAUACUUGGAAGAUCAUUACGAAAUCGGAACUUAUAAAAGAACAAGGUAUACACUUUGUUUCACCCUUUAAACUGUUCAUAGCCUAAGGAUUAUCUGUACAACCUGAUGUUUAUUGCUGAUAACAUAAAAAAACUGAUCAUUUGCUAAAAAAAGAUAAAUCUUUUAAAUUGUGAUACAAUUCAAAUCGUUGGUUUAACUUUCAUGAUUUUUUGAAACGUUAAAAAGAACCUAAACUAAAGACAGGCUCUCAAACUCAUCAAACAAUUGAAACAUACUUUUUACUGUGAAAUCUAAAACAAUUCCUUGCAAAAUAAAGGGCCAAUUAAUUGUCCACAAAAGAAAUAGAAAACAAAAGAAACAGAAAAGAACAAAAAAUAAAACUGAAUCUUUUAUCUUGCAGACACAUCAGUCAAACAAACCAACAACCAACCAGUCAGUCAGCCAAUGAACAUUAGUCUAAAACGUAUGUGUCAUGUCAAAUAUAAACGAUGCGAAUAAUUUCCAGGAUAACAUCAUGGUUUAACACACAAAUACACAUCAUGCACGGACUGACACCGACAUAGGGACAUAACAAGAAUACAUGUAACAAUGUCUCUGGUCUAAGUAAAAUGGAAUAAAAAAAAAAUUGAAAUUGUUUUCAAGCAAUAAAAAAGGUAAAACAAGUGAAAUGGUAAAUGUCUAAAAAAGAGGAGUUAGACGUUUUAUAAAAAGAGUCACAGGAGUGCAGUUUAUAAGAGGAUAGACUUAAAAGUUAUUUCCAAUAGAGAUGCAGAAUUUUAAUAUUUCAACUGGAACUUUUUUGUUAUCUGAUAUAUUCCAUCAAAGUCCUCCCAUUAAGUAAUAGGUUUUCUAACAAUAUGGGAAAUUUAGAUCAUUGAUCGUUUUGCGUUUGGAAGAAAAACUUGAUUACGAAGAUCGAAUCAGCUAGAUCUUGCAUCUGUACCGUCCUAAGUCUAAAACUAAAUAUCGGUUACUAGACUUACCUCCAUUUUCUUAAUGUUUGGUUAUAUUUUAUUGGAUAUCUUAAAUGAUAACCGGAAGUUAACAUAACGGGAUUUAGUCUACGAAAUUCCAACUUCUUGUUCACAAAGAGGAAUUGUCAUCCCCAAACACCUACAAUGCUUUUUAGUCGUUGUAUUGUUGCGUGGUUGAUUGGUGAACCCGAUAUUAUCACUCUUUAGCUCUACUAAACUCGAUGUUCCAAACCGAUUUCAUUUCAAUUAUUUGGCUACAUUAUGUUUACUUUUUCACAUUAUCAGAUGGAAUUUCUAUUGGGAUAAUUUCCCGGUUUCGAGAAGAUCAGGCAAAAGUUCUCUUGUAUUGAUGUUACUCUCGACAAGAGAAACGAAAAGGGUUGUACAAUGUUUUUAAGUUCAUCGUUUUUAGCAUAAUUGUUUACGGCCCCCGAUACUCUCGCUCUCUCUCUCUUUGCCAAUACGCUCCAAGUACGAAAGACAAAGACACGUUAUUUAAUGGAAUCUCUAUUGUAUUAGGUUCCCUAAUCCGGGAAGAUGACUGAAAAGCGCUCUCUUGUAAACAGAAACGAAGCUGUUGUAGAACUCAUAGAGAAUUUAAAUUUGUAUUGGGUUAAAAUUAGAAUUAGAUACGAAGUCUACGAAAACCUAGUUCUUAUUCACAAAGCAAAUUGCAUUUCUCGGACAGCUACGAUGCUUUUUAGUCGAUCCUUUGUUUCGUUACUGUAUACGGAACACUAUACUUUCACUCUCCCCCUAUUUGCUAAUACGCCCCAAGUUCGAAUAUCAAUCUACAUUUCAAUUCAUAGGCUUUUUGUAGAGUAAUUUUUCCACACCAUUCAAUGAAAUGUCUAUUGCAUGAAGUUCCUGAUUCCGAGAAGAUAAUGGAAAAACGCUAUCGAUUUCAACAAAAGAAACGAAACUUUAGUUUCUUUGGUGCGAUUAAAUAUCGAUUGGUCAACUCCCAAUUUCUCUUGGAGUAAAGAGAAGUGCUGGUAAUGGAUAAUUCCACGUAAUAAGGCCGACAACGAGAUAUGAUCCCUUCUUUAGCUAUCUGGCUUUAGCUGCCAUCAAAUGUCAGCGGCUUCUACUCCCGAUUAUAAAGUUUGUGACGAAACGUUUGAGUCGAUCCUGAAUAGUAAUAAGAUAAGAAUG
Long non-coding RNA from Lucilia sericata (common green bottle fly), 6552 nucleotides. RefSeq lists it as uncharacterized. NCBI's taxonomy places the organism in Eukaryota, Metazoa, Arthropoda, Insecta, Diptera, Calliphoridae. The record is from RefSeq and is a predicted model, not a curated record. The transcript is spliced from 3 exons.